UUGGUUCACCACACGGAAUUUAAUUUAUUAUUUAAUCGUGAACCCCUGCAUCCGGAAGGAACCGCCUUGCUACACGCGCCAAUCUACAGGCCACCAGCAUAUACAUGGACCAAGGAAUAUUCCAUACUUGCGACGAAAUAACAACUGAACCAAGAUGACCAAGAAAUCCGAUACCACCUUAACAUAUAUAUAUAACUGUUAGCAGAAAAAACGUACCACGGGCGCCGAUCUUAAAUGAACUAGGAAUUCACAACCAUGCUAUUAAACAGAACAACUACUGCAGACGAUCCAAAAAUUAUAGAGAGUCACCAAAUAAUUAACAAGGGAACAUUUUUUGACAAUUUUAUUUUACAUAGCGGCGACCAUAAUCUUCCUAUGUGUUGCCGACGCGCCAGGAAGUAGUAACCUCCAACAAUGGCCAGGUUGGAAGAGAAGCCUUGCGAAGUGGUAGGAACCAUGGGAAGUUCGUCCAAUUAGAUACCAAGCCAUUAGAACAAUCUCAUGUAUCAUAUAAUAGUAAAACAAACUCAAGUUACAUUGUAAACAAACUUUAAUUUUCUAUAUUUAUCUUAUCUAUUUAUAACUCUGUAUUGCUACUUUCACUUUUCAUUGUUUCUCUCACCAUGACGACGUCAAAUUUCAUGCACCACUUUGAGUACUUCAGGGAUUAAAUUCUGUAUAAAAAUUGUCCUGAUGAAGCCUGCCUUGCAGGCGAAACAUGUAGACAUAGAUAAUAAAAUUGCAGAUCUUUUGAAGUGUUGUUGUCAAUUUUAAUUAUUAUUUAAGGAUUGCAUUCAUUUGCAUGAUUUGACAACCCGGCAUACCAAGGUAUCCACUUCAGGGACUCUACCAAAACGAUUUCACAGGCGUUGGUUCACCACACGGAAUUUAAUUUAUUAUUUAAUCGUGAACCCCUGCAUCCGAAAGGAACCGCCUUGCUACACGCGCCAAUCUACAGGCCACCAGCAUAUACAUGGACCAAGGAAUAUUCCAUACUUGCGACGAAAUAACAACUGAACCAAGAUGACCAAGAAAUCCGAUACCACCUUAACAUAUAUAUAUAACUGUUAGCAGAAAAAACGUACCACGGGCGCCGAUCUUAAAUGAACUAGGAAUUCACAACCAUGCUAUUAAACAGAACAACUACUGCAGACGAUCCAAAAAUUAUAGAGAGUCACCAAAUAAUUAACAAGGGAACAUUUUUUGACAAUUUUAUUUUACAUAGCGGCGACCAUAAUCUUCCUAUGUGUUGCCGACGCGCCAGGAAGUAGUAACCUCCAACAAUGGCCAGGUUGGAAGAGAAGCCUUGCGAAGUGGUAGGAACCAUGGGAAGUUCGUCCAAUUAGAUACCAAGCCAUUAGAACAAUUUCAUGUAUCAUAUAAUAGUAAAACAAACUCAAGUUACAUUGUAAACAAACUUUAAUUUUCUAUAUUUAUCUUAUCUAUUUAUAACUCUGUAUUGCUACUUUCACUUUUCAUUGUUUCUCUCACCAUGACGACGUCAAAUUUCAUGCACCACUUUGAGUACUUCAGGGAUUAAAUUCUGUAUAAAAAUUGUCCUGAUGAAGCCUGCCUUGCAGGCGAAACAUGUAGACAUAGAUAAUAAAAUUGCAGAUCUUUUGAAGUGUUGUUGUCAAUUUUAAUUAUUAUUUAAGGAUUGCAUUCAUUUGCAUGAUUUGACAACCCGGCAUACCAAGGUAUCCACUUCAGGGACUCUACCAAAACGAUUUCACAGGCGUUGGUUCACCACACGGAAUUUAAUUUAUUAUUUAAUCGUGAACCCCUGCAUCCGAAAGGAACCGCCUUGCUACACGCGCCAAUCUACAGGCCACCAGCAUAUACAUGGACCAAGGAAUAUUCCAUACUUGCGACGAAAUAACAACUGAACCAAGAUGACCAAGAAAUCCGAUACCACCUUAACAUAUAUAUAUAACUGUUAGCAGAAAAAACGUACCACGGGCGCCGAUCUUAAAUGAACUAGGAAUUCACAACCAUGCUAUUAAACAGAACAACUACUGCAGACGAUCCAAAAAUUAUAGAGAGUCACCAAAUAAUUAACAAGGGAACAUUUUUUGACAAUUUUAUUUUACAUAGCGGCGACCAUAAUCUUCCUAUGUGUUGCCGACGCGCCAGGAAGUAGUAACCUCCAACAAUGGCCAGGUUGGAAGAGAAGCCUUGCGAAGUGGUAGGAACCAUGGGAAGUUCGUCCAAUUAGAUACCAAGCCAUUAGAACAAUUUCAUGUAUCAUAUAAUAGUAAAACAAACUCAAGUUACAUUGUAAACAAACUUUAAUUUUCUAUAUUUAUCUUAUCUAUUUAUAACUCUGUAUUGCUACUUUCACUUUUCAUUGUUUCUCUCACCAUGACGACGUCAAAUUUCAUGCACCACUUUGAGUACUUCAGGGAUUAAAUUCUGUAUAAAAAUUGUCCUGAUGAAGCCUGCCUUGCAGGCGAAACAUGUAGACAUAGAUAAUAAAAUUGCAGAUCUUUUGAAGUGUUGUUGUCAAUUUUAAUUAUUAUUUAAGGAUUGCAUUCAUUUGCAUGAUUUGACAACCCGGCAUACCAAGGUAUCCACUUCAGGGACUCUACCAAAACGAUUUCACAGGCGUUGGUUCACCACACGGAAUUUAAUUUAUUAUUUAAUCGUGAACCCCUGCAUCCGAAAGGAACCGCCUUGCUACACGCGCCAAUCUACAGGCCACCAGCAUAUACAUGGACCAAGGAAUAUUCCAUACUUGCGACGAAAUAACAACUGAACCAAGAUGACCAAGAAAUCCGAUACCACCUUAACAUAUAUAUAUAUAACUGUUAGCAGAAAAAACGUACCACGGGCGCCGAUCUUAAAUGAACUAGGAAUUCACAACCAUGCUAUUAAACAGAACAACUACUGCAGACGAUCCAAAAAUUAUAGAGAGUCACCAAAUAAUUAACAAGGGAACAUUUUUUGACAAUUUUAUUUUACAUAGCGGCGACCAUAAUCUUCCUAUGUGUUGCCGACGCGCCAGGAAGUAGUAACCUCCAACAAUGGCCAGGUUGGAAGAGAAGCCUUGCGAAGUGGUAGGAACCAUGGGAAGUUCGUCCAAUUAGAUACCAAGCCAUUAGAACAAUUUCAUGUAUCAUAUAAUAGUAAAACAAACUCAAGUUACAUUGUAAACAAACUUUAAUUUUCUAUAUUUAUCUUAUCUAUUUAUAACUCUGUAUUGCUACUUUCACUUUUCAUUGUUUCUCUCACCAUGACGACGUCAAAUUUCAUGCACCACUUUGAGUACUUCAGGGAUUAAAUUCUGUAUAAAAAUUGUCCUGAUGAAGCCUGCCUUGCAGGCGAAACAUGUAGACAUAGAUAAUAAAAUUGCAGAUCUUUUGAAGUGUUGUUGUCAAUUUUAAUUAUUAUUUAAGGAUUGCAUUCAUUUGCAUGAUUUGACAACCCGGCAUACCAAGGUAUCCACUUCAGGGACUCUACCAAAACGAUUUCACAGGCGUUGGUUCACCACACGGAAUUUAAUUUAUUAUUUAAUCGUGAACCCCUGCAUCCGAAAGGAACCGCCUUGCUACACGCGCCAAUCUACAGGCCACCAGCAUAUACAUGGACCAAGGAAUAUUCCAUACUUGCGACGAAAUAACAACUGAACCAAGAUGACCAAGAAAUCCGAUACCACCUUAACAUAUAUAUAUAACUGUUAGCAGAAAAAACGUACCACGGGCGCCGAUCUUAAAUGAACUAGGAAUUCACAACCAUGCUAUUAAACAGAACAACUACUGCAGACGAUCCAAAAAUUAUAGAGAGUCACCAAAUAAUUAACAAGGGAACAUUUUUUGACAAUUUUAUUUUACAUAGCGGCGACCAUAAUCUUCCUAUGUGUUGCCGACGCGCCAGGAAGUAGUAACCUCCAACAAUGGCCAGGUUGGAAGAGAAGCCUUGCGAAGUGGUAGGAACCAUGGGAAGUUCGUCCAAUUAGAUACCAAGCCAUUAGAACAAUUUCAUGUAUCAUAUAAUAGUAAAACAAACUCAAGUUACAUUGUAAACAAACUUUAAUUUUCUAUAUUUAUCUUAUCUAUUUAUAACUCUGUAUUGCUACUUUCACUUUUCAUUGUUUCUCUCACCAUGACGACGUCAAAUUUCAUGCACCACUUUGAGUACUUCAGGGAUUAAAUUCUGUAUAAAAAUUGUCCUGAUGAAGCCUGCCUUGCAGGCGAAACAUGUAGACAUAGAUAAUAAAAUUGCAGAUCUUUUGAAGUGUUGUUGUCAAUUUUAAUUAUUAUUUAAGGAUUGCAUUCAUUUGCAUGAUUUGACAACCCGGCAUACCAAGGUAUCCACUUCAGGGACUCUACCAAAACGAUUUCACAGGCGUUGGUUCACCACACGGAAUUUAAUUUAUUAUUUAAUCGUGAACCCCUGCAUCCGAAAGGAACCGCCUUGCUACACGCGCCAAUCUACAGGCCACCAGCAUAUACAUGGACCAAGGAAUAUUCCAUACUUGCGACGAAAUAACAACUGAACCAAGAUGACCAAGAAAUCCGAUACCACCUUAACAUAUAUAUAUAACUGUUAGCAGAAAAAACGUACCACGGGCGCCGAUCUUAAAUGAACUAGGAAUUCACAACCAUGCUAUUAAACAGAACAACUACUGCAGACGAUCCAAAAAUUAUAGAGAGUCACCAAAUAAUUAACAAGGGAACAUUUUUUGACAAUUUUAUUUUACAUAGCGGCGACCAUAAUCUUCCUAUGUGUUGCCGACGCGCCAGGAAGUAGUAACCUCCAACAAUGGCCAGGUUGGAAGAGAAGCCUUGCGAAGUGGUAGGAACCAUGGGAAGUUCGUCCAAUUAGAUACCAAGCCAUUAGAACAAUUUCAUGUAUCAUAUAAUAGUAAAACAAACUCAAGUUACAUUGUAAACAAACUUUAAUUUUCUAUAUUUAUCUUAUCUAUUUAUAACUCUGUAUUGCUACUUUCACUUUUCAUUGUUUCUCUCACCAUGACGACGUCAAAUUUCAUGCACCACUUUGAGUACUUCAGGGAUUAAAUUCUGUAUAAAAAUUGUCCUGAUGAAGCCUGCCUUGCAGGCGAAACAUGUAGACAUAGAUAAUAAAAUUGCAGAUCUU
Molecule: long non-coding RNA, 5097 nt
Organism: Mytilus californianus (California mussel)
Lineage: Eukaryota; Metazoa; Mollusca; Bivalvia; Mytilida; Mytilidae
Exons: 2
Source: RefSeq, a predicted model, not a curated record